GAUGAAGAACGUAGUGAAAUGCGAUAAGUAGUGUGAAUUGCAGAAGUACCGUGAAUCAUCGAAUCUUUGAACGCAAAUUGCACUCUCUGGUAUUCCGGGGAGUAUGCCUGUUUGAGGGUCGCUUAACAAACCAUCGAUUUCGUUGCUUUUUUUUUAAAAAGUGAUGUUUAUCGGAUUUGAGCCGUCUUUUUUUUUUAUAUUUAAGUGGCUUAAAAUUGAUUUUUUUGGUACGAUCGAAGCGUAUUUUUAUGAUCAAUUUUUGGUUAAAGAAACGCACACGUACCGUUAUUUAUAUGAUGUAAUACGUUUGACUAUUGGAUUUAGUUCAUUCGUAUACGAUAUUUUUCAAUAUUUGACCUCAAAUCAGGUAAGAACACCCGCUGAACUUAAGCAUAUCAAUAAGCGGAGGA
RNAcentral lists this unclassified non-coding RNA (410 nucleotides) under soil metagenome. RNAcentral describes it as "partial contains 5.8S ribosomal RNA, internal transcribed spacer 2, and large subunit ribosomal RNA". The stretch from base 1 to 121 matches the Rfam family "5.8S ribosomal RNA", at positions 35 to 154 of the family's 154-position model. The record is from RNAcentral.